UCUCCCCUGUGUGACCUAUGUACACUCUGGGCAACGAAACAGCAGGGUGCGGUGGCUCACUCCUGUAAUUCCAACACUCUGGGAGGCCAAGGCGGGCAGAUCACCUGAGUUCGGGAGUUCAAGACCACCCUCACAAACAUGGAGAAACCUGGUUGCUAGUAAAAAUACAAAAUUAGCCGGGCAUGGUGGCGCAUGUGUAUAAUGCCGGCUACUCGGGAGGCUGAGUCAGGAGAAUUGCUUGAACCCAGGAGACCUCGGAGGUUGUGGUGAGCCAAGAUUGUGCCAUUGCACUCCAGCCUGGGCAGCAAGAGUGGAACUCCAUCUCAAACAACAACAACAACAACAAAACAUAUCGAAGGGCUAACUGCACUGUCUAUAGUGACUCCCUCCUCUGAAGUCGUGAACCCUUCAAAGUCAUCUAUCAGAGUUGAAUCAGCUUUCACAAAAUUGUUGAUGAUCACACUGAAGUAUAAGAAAUUAAAUAAUCCAAGAUCAUACAAUGGGAAAGAGGUGAAACUGGGAUUUGAACAAAGGGAUGAUGAAAUGGCUGCCCUCUUCACCAAUGGGCUAGAAGAACAAAGAUUUUUAAAGAGCUUGCUGGAGAUGGCCAUAAAGUAA
This 618-nucleotide long non-coding RNA is filed under the name Callithrix jacchus (white-tufted-ear marmoset). Its description in RNAcentral is "lncRNA (ENSCJAG00000084102.1)". The record is from RNAcentral. Lineage: Eukaryota; Metazoa; Chordata; Mammalia; Primates; Cebidae.